RNAcentral lists this ribosomal RNA (774 nucleotides) under uncultured Neocallimastigales. RNAcentral describes it as "partial large subunit ribosomal RNA". It matches the Rfam family "Eukaryotic large subunit ribosomal RNA", at positions 24 to 647 of the family's 3401-position model. Lineage: Eukaryota; Fungi; Neocallimastigomycota; Neocallimastigomycetes; Neocallimastigales. The record is from RNAcentral.
GUAGUCUCGCACAGAUGCAUAUCAAUAAGCGGAGGAAAAGUAACUAACAAGGAUUCCCCUAGUAACGGCGAGUGAAGCGGGAAGAGCUCAAAUUUGAAAUCUUAAAGGGUUUCCCUUUACGAAUUGUAGUUUAAAGAAGUGUUUUCUGUUGAGGUUUUGGUAAAAGUUCUUUGGAAUAGGACAUCAUAGAGGGUGAGAAUCCCGUAUUUGACCCUUACUUUCAACUUUGUGAUACACUUUCAAAGAGUCGGAUUGUUUGGGAAUGCAGUCCAAAAUGGGUGGUAAAUUUCAUCUAAAGCUAAAUAUUGGCGAGAGACCGAUAGCGAACAAGUACCGUGAGGGAAAGAUGAAAAGAACUUUGAAAAGAGAGUUAAACAGUACGUGAAAUUGUCAAAAGGGAAGCGUUUGACACCAGUGUUGUUUUUCUGAAAAUCAAUUAAAGAACUGUUUAUGCUAAGUUGUUUAGACUUUAUCAGCUAUCUGUUUAGUUUUGAGCUUUUCUUUAAUGCACUUUUCAGUUAACAAGUCAACAUCAAUUUCUUUUGCUGUAAAAAAGCUUGAGGAAGGUGGCUUGAGAUUCGUCUUAAGUGUUUAUAGCCUCUUGCCUAUGCAGUCGGAGAGAUUGAGGUCUGCAGCGUAGAUCCUUCGGGGCUAAAUGCAUUUGUGCUAAGUUAUAGCAUUUUAUAGACAACUUGUUGACUAUGAUUUGUCUUGUAGCUUACUCGCUUAUGUUAUUUUACCUACGCUUAGGAUGUUGACGCAUGAGAUAUACGC